This 1693-nucleotide long non-coding RNA is filed under the name Ananas comosus (pineapple). Its description in RNAcentral is "long non-coding RNA (ACOM_LNC030773)". The record is from RNAcentral. Lineage: Eukaryota; Viridiplantae; Streptophyta; Magnoliopsida; Poales; Bromeliaceae.
UAAGUUAUCUUUUACCCCAAAAAAAUAUCUCAAGGAGAGAUUAUUGCAAUCGAAUGAGAUUAGUACAAGCCUCGAGUAUGUGUUAUAUUCUAACUAAUACGCUCUGCAUCUUUAUAGACGAUGCAAUCUAACUCUAAAAGUCCUUUGUCAUUUAGCACCCGUUUGGUUUUAAAGACUAUCUAAUACUUUUAGACAAAACAUAGUUAUCUAUACCUCUAUACCUAUACAUUAUUUCUCCUAAAGUUUUGCCAUGUGACGAAUCCUCCUGCACCGUUGGCUUCUCUCUUCUCACUCCCAUCUCCAUCCAAUGCUUCAUCUUUCUAACCCCCACCUCUCAAUUAAUGUAUUUAUAUAGUCCCAUCUUCACCCAAUGCUUCAUCUUCCUAACCCCCACCUUUCAAUUAAUGUAUUUAUAUGAUCUCAUUUCCACCCAAUGCUUCAUCUUCCUAACCCCCACCUCUCAAUUAAUGUGUUUUCAUGGUUUUAUCUCCAUCCAAUACUUCAUCUUCCUGACUUCCACCUUUCUAUUGCUUUUACAAGAACAAAUGAGUAAAAUAAAGUUUCUUCAUACUUUUCUUUUCAUAUUGUUUUUUUUUUUUUCCUUUUUUUCUUGGCGCACAAAAAGGGCUCAUGUUUCGUAACUUUUUUAAAUUUUUUUUAAAAUUGUGUGUGGAUUGAAAUUAGGGUUUCGAGGAUCGCGAUGGGCACGGCAAGGGAAAACGAUGAUAAAUUUAGAGUCAGUAAGGAGGAAGAAGCAGUGGAUGUGGAAAAAAUAUACGGGAUUGACAUGGUUAUGGCUAAGGAGGAGAUCGACACUAGUGGCGAAGGCAAUGUAAAUAUUGGAAUUUGCCUUUUCGAUGUCGAUAGUACGAUGAAGGUGUGUAUGGGUAAAAUUUUUUUUAUUGCUUCUUUCAUUAUUGUUAUGUGUGAUUUAUUUAUCGAAAUUAUAAAUUUUGCUAUAUCUAUACCUAUAUCUAUUUUAUAUAUUAUAUUUAUGUUAUUGAAGUCUCAUGUCAAAUCAAAAAAUUUAUAGUUUUUAUUCUAUUUAUAUUUUAUCUUUUAUAGUAUCAUUCCGCCGCAAUGCGCGGGUGAUUUCACUAGUAAUGAAUGACUACAAUAUGAUUUCUCAAUAUUUUGCUGAUGUGGCACAACCACAUUGCUUUAGGAGUCUUUUUUUUCUCACUUAGGCAGGCCCUCCUACCCUUUCUCUCUCGAAUAUUCUUCUUCCCCCUGUCUUUCUCCCUCUCUCUCAAGCCUUAACUUCCACCUCUCCACCUUCCCCUCCUAAUCCCUCUCUCUCUCUUUCGAAUCUUCUUCCAUGUCCCCUGUCUUCCCCCCUCUCUUUCUCAAGCCUUAACUUCCACCUCUCCACCUUCCCCUCCUAAUCCCUCUCUCUCUCUUUCGAAUCUUCUUCCAUGUCCCCUGUCUUCCCCCCUCUCUUUCUCAAGCCUUAACUUCCACCCCUCCACCUACCCUUUACAACAAAGGUAUUAAUUGCACAAACUCACAAUAAAGGUAAAUUUAUAUAGCACUAUUCUACCAAUCCUUAAAAAUGUAUAUUUGUAACCAAUACAUGUUCCACAUUAAAACAAGCAAAAUUUAAAAUAUCACAGUACUGUUCUAUUAUACCUUAAUAAUGUAUAUUUGUAAUGAAUACAUAUUUUCUAUCCUAAACCGAACAAAAUUUAAUAAA